Phoenix dactylifera (date palm) is the source of this 396-nucleotide non-coding RNA. The record is from RefSeq and is a predicted model, not a curated record. Lineage: Eukaryota; Viridiplantae; Streptophyta; Magnoliopsida; Arecales; Arecaceae.
GAUGAAAAGCUAAUAAUUUUCUUUUUAUCUUUUUCAUUUUGAGGCAGAAACUAGAGAUGCUUCAUUUAAACCUGUGCCUCUUGUUCAGAAGCCGAUAUCAUCUGUUUUGGAGAAGAUCAGGCUAAGAAAGUUGGAAGUAUCAAAAAAACCUAGCAUUCUCUAUCAUUUUGAUUCUAUUGCUGAUACUGAUUGUUCUGCGGCUGAGAUGUCUCACGUCUCUGAUCUAUCUGGGUCUAAUAAUGGGAAGGAAAACAAUGAGACAUCAAAAAUGUUGUAUAGUUGCAGGAUGAUGCUGUCCAAGCUAUGGAUGGUGACAACAGUGCAAGUUUUCUGAGCUGCCAUGAGAAUGUUACCUAUAGCAAGGUUAUCAAUUGUGUUGGUGGAUCUCAGUUUGUU